This 373-nucleotide unclassified non-coding RNA is filed under the name soil metagenome. RNAcentral describes it as "partial contains 5.8S ribosomal RNA, internal transcribed spacer 2, and large subunit ribosomal RNA". The stretch from base 1 to 121 matches the Rfam family "5.8S ribosomal RNA", at positions 35 to 154 of the family's 154-position model. The record is from RNAcentral.
GAUGAAGAACGUAGCGAAAUGCGAUAAGUAAUGCGAAUUGCAGAAUUCCAGUGAGUCAUCGAAUCUUUGAACGCACAUUGCGCCCUUUGGUAUUCCGAAGGGCAUGCCUGUUCGAGCGUCAUUAUCACCCCUCAAGCCCUCGGCUUGGUGUUGGACGGUUUGGUGGAGGCCCCCUCGGGGGUUCCUGCCCCUCCCAAAGACAAUGACGGCGGCCUCGUUGGACCCCCGGUACACUGAGUUCUUCACGGGACACGUAUCGGACACAUGGGUUUACGUGACACGGUCUGCCUCCCCUCAGGGAGAAUCUUUCUAAGGUUGACCUCGGAUCAGGUAGGGAUACCCGCUGAACUUAAGCAUAUCAAUAAGCGGAGGA